Long non-coding RNA from Apis cerana (Asiatic honeybee), 832 nucleotides. RefSeq lists it as uncharacterized. The record is from RefSeq and is a predicted model, not a curated record. Lineage: Eukaryota; Metazoa; Arthropoda; Insecta; Hymenoptera; Apidae.
GCGAGCGACAAUAAGUGGAAAACAGAAUUGUCAUCCAUCUUGCAAGCGCGAAUAUGAGUAUCUACAGUGUUGUGUUGUUUUCACCGGUGCGAGCGUUUUAAAUAAUUAAUUGGCCGGCAAAAUGGAAGUCACGGAUAUGAAUUCGAAGCCAUUCGUUAAUUUCAUGGUUCAUUUCGCACGCUCUUUUCUGCUCGUUGUGUUUUCCACCAGUUUUAGCCAUCUCCUCACUCUUCAAAAACAUUCAGUAUAUUCAUAUUCUCGAGCGAAUCCCUGCAGCAAUUCAUUGCACAGGCAACCACAAAGACUAAUUUCCAUGCCUAGGAAUAUUCACAAACUAUCAACCAUUCAAAGUUUUUGGUGAUUAUAUUAGAUAGUUAAUGAUGAUGAUUCAUUACAAUUAAUUGGAACAAAUUGAGGACUCCCAGUGUGGAAAGAUUCGAAAUGAUCACGAACCAAUAUCCAAUCCCUAUUCCUAGAUUGGAAACGAGUCGAGGCGACGACGGUUUGCUCGAGACAAAUGAUCGGGAUCGAGAGGCCACGGUGUCUGACACAAUAUGCUCGAUCAACGUGGAUUGAUGCCCACAUCGGAGAAAAGUACGUGAAAGGUACGUUUAUUCUGGAUCCAAUUACGCAAUCCAUCCGAUAAACGAACUAUAAAUAUAUAUCAUGACCAUAAAAUACGCGAUAGAUAUAUAUUUAAGAUACAUAUUUCUGUCACUCUAUUAUUAUUUAGAGAAAUAUAUUUAUUACUAUUUAAAAGUAAUAAUAUAUUUUUUAAUCGUAUUAAAAGAAAAUGUAAAAUCGAGGUCAAAGAAAUUGGAAUCUACAUUUA